AUUGAACGCUGGCGGCAUGCCUUACACAUGCAAGUCGAACGGCAGCACGGGGGCGAACCCUGGUGGCGAGUGGCGAACGGGUGAGUAAUGCAUCGGAACGUGCCCAGUAGUGGGGGAGUAACUAGUCGAAAGAUUAGCUAAUACCGCAUACGACCUAUGGGUGAAAGCGGGGGAGUCGCAAGACCUCGCGCUAUUGGAGCGGCCGAUGUCUGAUUAGCUAGUUGGCGGGGUAAAAGCCCACCAAGGCUUCGAUCAGUAGCUGGUCUGAGAGGACGACCAGCCACACUGGGACUGAGACACGGCCCAGACUCCUACGGGAGGCAGCAGUGGGGAAUUUUGGACAAUGGGCGCAAGCCUGAUCCAGCCAUGCCGCGUGCGGGAAGAAGGCCUGGUU
Molecule: ribosomal RNA, 394 nt
Filed under: uncultured bacterium
Lineage: Bacteria
Description: bacterial SSU rRNA
Rfam family: Bacterial small subunit ribosomal RNA
Source: RNAcentral